This 495-nucleotide ribosomal RNA is filed under the name uncultured bacterium. Its description in RNAcentral is "partial 16S ribosomal RNA". It matches the Rfam family "Bacterial small subunit ribosomal RNA", at positions 28 to 507 of the family's 1533-position model. The record is from RNAcentral.
GACGAACGCUGGCGGCGUGCCUAAUACAUGCAAGUAGAACGCUGAAGGAGGAGCUUGCUCUUCUGGAUGAGUUGCGAACGGGUGAGUAACGCGUAGGUAACCUGCCUGGUAGCGGGGGAUAACUAUUGGAAACGAUAGCUAAUACCGCAUAACAGUAGAUGUUGCAUGACAUUUGCUUAAAAGGUGCAAUUGCACCACUACCAGAUGGACCUGCGUUGUAUUAGCUAGUUGGUGGGGUAACGGCUCACCAAGGCGACGAUACAUAGCCGACCUGAGAGGGUGAUCGGCCACACUGGGACGGAGACACGGCCCAGACUCCUACGGGAGGCAGCAGUAGGGAAUCUUCGGCAAUGGACGGAAGUCUGACCGAGCAACGCCGCGUGAGUGAAGAAGGGUGUCGGAUCGUAAAGCUCUGUUGUAAGAGAAGAACGAGUGUGAGAGUGGAAAGUUCACACUGUGACGGUAGCUUACCAGAAAGGGACGGCUAACUACGUG